Unclassified non-coding RNA from Erinaceus europaeus (western European hedgehog), 325 nucleotides. Its record names the gene 7SK. It matches the Rfam family "7SK RNA". From Rfam's summary of the family: 7SK was discovered as an abundant small nuclear RNA in the mid-70s but a possible function has only recently been suggested. Two independent studies have found that 7SK RNA binds the CDK9/cyclin T complex (known as elongation factor P-TEFb). The record is from Ensembl. NCBI's taxonomy places the organism in Eukaryota, Metazoa, Chordata, Mammalia, Eulipotyphla, Erinaceidae.
GGCAGUUUGGGUCGUCUCUGGCUCCCCAGCGAUGGAACAUAGCGGCCCACUGAUCGCCAGAGUUAUUCAGCUGAUCUGGCUUCCUAGGCGGCUAUCCCCUUCAUCCCUCACCACUCCAUGUGCGUCCCUCCCAAAGCUUGAAGCUCUGUCGAAGAGGACAGCCUUCCCCAAAUAGAGACAGACCGGUCUUUGGUCGAAGGUAUAUAAGUAGUUGAGCUCCCCAGCUAGAACCUCCAAACAAGCUCUCAAGGAUCAGCUCUUUGUUGAUACCAUCUGCUUUAUGGUGAAAUGCACCUCAUUCCCAUAUGAUUUUAUAUCUCUCAUC